RNAcentral lists this ribosomal RNA (253 nucleotides) under uncultured bacterium. RNAcentral describes it as "partial 16S ribosomal RNA". It matches the Rfam family "Bacterial small subunit ribosomal RNA", at positions 524 to 776 of the family's 1533-position model. The record is from RNAcentral.
UACGUAGGGUGCGAGCGUUAAUCGGAAUUACUGGGCGUAAAGCGUGCGCAGGCGGUUCGUUGUGUCGGUGGUGAAAGCCCCGGGCUCAACCUGGGAAUGGCCAUGGAAACUGGCGAACUGGAGUGUGGCAGAGGGGGGUGGAAUUCCGCGUGUAGCAGUGAAAUGCGUAGAGAUGCGGAGGAACACCGAUGGCGAAGGCAGCCCCCUGGACCUGUACUGACGCUCAUGCACGAAAGCGUGGGGAGCAAACAGG